Molecule: ribosomal RNA, 441 nt
Filed under: uncultured bacterium
Lineage: Bacteria
Description: bacterial SSU rRNA
Rfam family: Bacterial small subunit ribosomal RNA
Source: RNAcentral
UACGGAAGGCAGCAGUGGGGAAUAUUGCACAAUGGGCGCAAGCCUGAUGCAGCCAUGCCGCGUGUAUGAAGAAGGCCUUCGGGUUGUAAAGUACUUUCAGUCGUGAGGAAGGUGUUAAGGUUAAUAACCUUAGCAAUUGACGUUAGCGACAGAAGAAGCACCGGCUAACUCCGUGCCAGCAGCCGCGGUAAUACGGAGGGUGCGAGCGUUAAUCGGAAUUACUGGGCGUAAAGGGCACGCAGGCGGUUAAUUAAGUUGGAUGUGAAAUCCCCGGGCUUAACCUGGGAAUGGCAUUCAAGCUGGUUAGCUAGAGUCUUGUAGAGGGGGUAGAAUUCCAUGUGUAGCGGUGAAAUGCGUAGAGAUGUGGAGGAAUACCGGUGGCGAAGGCGGCCCCUGGGACAAAGGACUGACGCUCAUGUGCGAAAGCGUGGGGAGCGAAAC